GUUAACUGCGGUGCAGCGGGCGCGGGAAUACGUAGGGCGAAAGCGUUGGCCGGAAUUAUUGGGCGUAAAGAGCUCGUAGGCGGUCUGUUACGGCUGCUGUGAAAACCCAGGGCUUAACCCUGGGCGUGCAGUGGAUACGGGCAGACUAGAGGCAGGUAGGGGAGAAUGGAAUUCCCGGUGUAGCGGUGAAAUGCGCAGAUAUCGGGAGGAACACCGGUGGCGAAGGCGGUUCUCUGGGCCUGACCUGACGCUGAGGAGCGAAAGCGUGGGGAGCGAACAGGAUUAGAUACCCUAGUAGUC
Molecule: ribosomal RNA, 300 nt
Filed under: uncultured Desulfovibrio sp.
Lineage: Bacteria; Pseudomonadati; Thermodesulfobacteriota; Desulfovibrionia; Desulfovibrionales; Desulfovibrionaceae
Description: bacterial SSU rRNA
Rfam family: Bacterial small subunit ribosomal RNA
Source: RNAcentral